GAACGCGAAGAACCUUACCACCUUUUGACAUGCCCGGACCGCCACAGAGAUGUGGCUUUCUCUUCGGAGACUGGGACACAGGUGCUGCAUGGCUGUCGUCAGCUCGUGUCGUGAGAUGUUGGGUUAAGUCCCGCAACGAGCGCAACCCUCGCCAUUAGUUGCCAUCAUUCAGUUGGGAACUCUAAUGGGACUGCCGGUGCUAAGCCGGAGGAAGGUGGGGAUGACGUCAAGUCCUCAUGGCCCUUACAGGGUGGGCUACACACGUGCUACAAUGGCGACUACAGAGGGUUAAUCCUUAAAAGUCGUCUCAGUUCGGAUUGUCCUCUGCAACUCGAGGGCAGAAGUGGAAUCGCUAGUA
RNAcentral lists this ribosomal RNA (358 nucleotides) under uncultured bacterium. Its description in RNAcentral is "bacterial SSU rRNA". It matches the Rfam family "Bacterial small subunit ribosomal RNA", at positions 957 to 1340 of the family's 1533-position model. The record is from RNAcentral.